UACAGAGGUCCCGAGCGUUGUUCGGAUUCAUUGGGCGUAAAGGGUGCGUAGGCGGCGGGGAAAGUCUGAUGUGAAAUCCUGGGGCUCAACCCUGGAACUGCAUUGGAUACUUCCUUGCUAGAGUACUGGAGAGGAAACUGGAAUUUACGGUGUAGCAGUGAAAUGCGUAGAUAUCUGGAGGAACACCGGUGGCGAAGGCGGCAUCCUGGACCAAUAUUGACGCUGAGGAGCGAAAGCUAGGGGAGCAAACGGG
RNAcentral lists this ribosomal RNA (253 nucleotides) under uncultured bacterium. RNAcentral describes it as "partial 16S ribosomal RNA". It matches the Rfam family "Bacterial small subunit ribosomal RNA", at positions 524 to 776 of the family's 1533-position model. The record is from RNAcentral.